GUAAUAGUGGCCGUCUGGAGACUCAGCCUUUGCUGGGACUUAGUGGCUGGCAUGAGAGGGAGGAAAGGAUGGUUCACUUGGCCAUGCCAGCAGGAAGCUCACCACCAAAGAUGGGCUUCAGAGAAGCACCCUUUAAUUUCACUGCCUGGGCAUACCCCAGUUCCAAGGAUAACUGGUCAGGCAAGUCCCACUGAGGGGUGGCCUUGGGCUUAGCCUCCUCUCUGCACGUGGAUAGGGAACCUUAGGGGAGAGAAGGUUUCUGGCUCACCAAGGAGCCUCACAGAGUCUGGACGUGCCUGCUUCCUUUGCAAUGGCAGAGUCCAGGAUUAGUGCUGAAAAGGCCUGCAGUUCCCAUCCACUGACCCUCUCAGGUGCUCCAGCUCUCUGGCAGGCAGUAGUUAAAACCCGUCCCCCUCAGUCUCUCUGUCUAAACCCUCUGGGCCAAUAUGGCAUUAGGCUAACAAGGGUUCUGGAUUUUUGAGAUAACCAUCCAGGAAACAGAACACAUGCAAAAUAUUGCCCCAAAUCUUAGCCAUAUCCAGGAAACUACUUGUAAAUUACAAGAAAAUAUGUUUUCAUCAGACACUGAAUCCUUUUUUUUUUCUUCCAAUAAACCUGGAAAAUGGAGGGGGGACCCCAUUUUUGGAAGCAUUCUGGCUUUGCCGUUGUUCAGCUGGGUGGGGGAUCGUGGGUUAUGCAAGAGUGCCCUAGGCCUUUAAAGAGCUGUCACCUGACUCUGCUCCUGCCAGUUCGUCAGCACACAGCCUCAUGUGACUGCCCUCCAAGCAGCUGAACACACACGCAGCUCCCUGGGCUCACAUUGGUCUACUUGCACAGCCCCACCCUGGCUGCCUCCGCUUGCUCUCUGGGCUCCAGCUCUUUUCUGAAUGACCCUGCAACCCAACCUCCCUUCAUCUGUCCAAGUCCUGCUCCCUGUUCGGAUCACCACUCAACUGUCCUUCCCUCAGAAAUCAGGUCCUGGCCAAGCAGCCCUGCCCACUGUCGGCUUCCCUGGGGUUCCUGCAUGUUCUUGCAGAUCAGGCCCAUCAUUUAUCUCCCGUGCUCGUGUGAUUAUCGGGAUGCGUGUGCUACAGAGCAAGAAGUAAUCCCCUUUUGCUCAAAGCUUAGCAGAAUUCCAUUUAGGAUUCCUAAAUUUCUACCCCAC
This 1165-nucleotide long non-coding RNA is filed under the name Homo sapiens (human). Its description in RNAcentral is "HSALNT0049369". Lineage: Eukaryota; Metazoa; Chordata; Mammalia; Primates; Hominidae. The record is from RNAcentral.